GAGCAGCUGGGUGUGCACCCCGGGGCUUGGCUUGCCGUGGCUGCUCAGGAGUCACGGGUUGCUCCGUGCUCGGCUCUGGCAAGCAGCCCCGAUUCCCUUCUGGGUACCCCCAGUCUGGAGGCGGGACAGCGUCCUGCAGGAGCAGCAGCUGCUCUUGUACUGCAGUUACAAGAUUUAUGGCAUUCCUGAAAUUAUCGAUAACCUAUAGGGAUGCUAUGGAGAGAAAAACACUCAGAAAAUUCAUGCAGGAGACACCUGAACAGACCUGAAUGCAACAAACCAGAAAAAGUGAUUGCUCUCCAUUUUUAACACAAGCAUCAACAUCACAAAAAAACUCCAACUCUCAGUUAUGAUCACAAAAUUCCUGCCUGUCAUUGCUUUGGCAGCUCUGUCCCACAGAACUGCUUUAUUUUAGAUUCCUUACCUCCUGUGUUUUGAAACUUUGGACCUUUAUUUGGGAAAUUAACAUGUUUAUGCAACUGAAAACAUCAAAGAAUGUUCCGGGAUGCUGCCCUUACACUGAGUGGUGAAAACAUUUGUGAACUGUAUUUCUGUUUUUAAUAUUUUGUUGUCUUUUCCUUUCUCGGUGAAAUUAAUUUCAAUAAGUUAAUGAUAUUGACCUCUCUUUGUAGGAUUUGUCUUUUAAGACACAAUACAUGUACAUUUACCUUCCAGUUCCAGUACAGGGAUUGUGCCAGCUAAUGAGUCUGCACUCUUUUAAGGCUAGGAUUUCAUAUAAUAGGAGCUUUUAAUAGAAACAGGUUUUUGUAGAAAAGUAUUGCAGAAAAAUAGAUCUCUUCAGUGUUUCACUUCUGCCAGGGACAGGUGACUGUAGGUUUAUUCGUAUCACUUUUCCACUUCCAUGAGGGUUUGUGGGGAUUUGUCUGUCUGUUUUACUGGGGAGAAAAGGGAGCAGCAGUUUUUAUCCUCUGGAACUCAGAAGCCGUAUCCAGCGAGUGUGUUGAAGCCUGGCUGCUGUUCUCCCCUCUGUGUGUGGCAGGCUGGCGCAGUGUGCAGCGUCACCCAGCAGUGUCAAUGCCCUUCUCUUGCAGCUGCAGGGGGCCAGGAGCCACAGCGGGCUGGGAGCAGCUCCCCGACGCUGGAUGAGGCCGCGGGGCCGUGGGCAGGCGCUGACAUCGCCGAGGAUGACCUGGACAUCAUCCCUCCCUCCCCUGAGGAGGAGGAGCUGCCGCCCUUCUCCCCCUCUGCACAGAGCGCCGGCAGUGUUUUCAGAGACUCUCCCACUGGAGGAAGGUGCACACCUGGCAUCUCUGAGGCCAGGCAGGAGAAAGUUCCCUCAGCACAUCCUGGUGAUGCCAGUGCAGGAGAUUCAGGUGAGGCCGUGCCGGUGGCGCCGC
This is a non-coding RNA of Zonotrichia albicollis (white-throated sparrow), 1358 nucleotides long. Lineage: Eukaryota; Metazoa; Chordata; Aves; Passeriformes; Passerellidae. The record is from RefSeq and is a predicted model, not a curated record.